Molecule: transfer RNA, 89 nt
Filed under: Escherichia coli
Lineage: Bacteria; Pseudomonadati; Pseudomonadota; Gammaproteobacteria; Enterobacterales; Enterobacteriaceae
Description: tRNA-Leu
Rfam family: tRNA
About the family: Transfer RNA (tRNA) molecules are approximately 80 nucleotides in length. Their secondary structure includes four short double-helical elements and three loops (D, anti-codon, and T loops). Further hydrogen bonds mediate the characteristic L-shaped molecular structure. tRNAs have two regions of fundamental functional importance: the anti-codon, which is responsible for specific mRNA codon recognition, and the 3' end, to which the tRNAs corresponding amino acid is attached (by aminoacyl-tRNA synthetases). tRNAs cope with the degeneracy of the genetic code in two manners: having more than one tRNA (with a specific anti-codon) for a particular amino acid; and 'wobble' base-pairing, i.e. permitting non-standard base-pairing at the 3rd anti-codon position.
Source: RNAcentral
GCGAAGGUGGCGGAAUUGGUAGACGCGCUAGCUUCAGGUGUUAAUUAAUACUUACGGGACGUGGGGUUCAAGUCCCCCCCCUCGCACCA